UACAGAGACCUCAAGCGUUAUCCGGAAUCAUUGGGCGUAAAGCGUACCGAUAGGUGGCUUUACAAGUCAGAAGUGAAAUCUCAAAGCUCAACUUUGAGACUGUCUUUUGAAACUGUAAAGCUAGAGGGGCAAAGAGGAAGCUGGAACGAACGGUGUAGUAGUGAAAUGCGUUGAUAUCGUUCGGAACACCAAUAGCGUAGGCAAGCUUCUGGGUGCCACCUGACACUGCUAGGACGAAAGCGUGGGGAGCGAAUGGG
RNAcentral lists this ribosomal RNA (257 nucleotides) under uncultured bacterium. RNAcentral's name for it is "partial 16S ribosomal RNA". It matches the Rfam family "Bacterial small subunit ribosomal RNA", at positions 524 to 776 of the family's 1533-position model. The record is from RNAcentral.